RNAcentral lists this long non-coding RNA (1468 nucleotides) under Triticum aestivum (bread wheat). RNAcentral describes it as "long non-coding RNA (TAES_LNC024747)". Lineage: Eukaryota; Viridiplantae; Streptophyta; Magnoliopsida; Poales; Poaceae. The record is from RNAcentral.
UUUCAAGAAGCAAAAAAUAAAAUGAUCCACAAACAAUUCCAUGAACCAUUACUCUUCCAUCAGAUGAACACCAAGAUGGCCUUUUAACGUCGAAACUUUUUUCUCCGAAAAGCAAUAAUCGAUGUAACCUUAUUAUAGACAUUUAUUACAAUUGUUUAAACACUUCCUUGCGCUCGACAGGAUUAGUUUUAUUUUAUUUUAUUUUGCGGGUUAAAAGGAUUUCAUUGCUUAACUGUUGAAAAUCCGUUCCUACAUAGCAGAAGAACGUCUACAGGUCCAGAGCGCAACCAAACUACAGUUCGACCCUCCAAUCAUCCGAAAGCAGCAAGAGUGUGGCUAACAAGGUUCUGAUUCCUACUUACAUGAGCAAUAUUGAUAUCCCUUUCACCAAGGAGCCUCUUAAUGUUUAGAACUAUCAUUCUAUGUGGCCGUCUUUCAAGGGUAGACGCCUUGAUUAACUUGACUGCAUCCAUGCAGUCCAUCUCAAUGUCCAUCGGUAGAGUAGACCAUUGUAGAGCAAGGCUUAAUCCCUCCUGGCACGCCAACAACUCAGCUUGGAGUGGUCUGGAAAAAUGCGAGAUGGAACGACAAGCGGAGAAGACAAUGUUGCCGUUAUUAUCACGUAGAAUUAUACCAGCUCCUGCUAAUCCACCAUCGGCUUCGACGAAUGACCCGUCAACAUUUAGCUUCACACGGCGACAUGAUUAGUUUUAAAAGUUUAAACAUUUCCUUGCGCUGGUAUGGCUCAAUUGUAAGUGUGUCAUGCGGUGGCCAAGAUCAUCGCAUUGUAAUUGGUCAAAUUCAAACACAUUUCAGUCAGGUGGACACCGUGGCCACUUUCAAUGAGGAUGGCAAGGAGUAUAAUUGGACUAGAGGACAUGGACCUUUGGAGGGGUCAUGAGUUGUGCUUUGAGCUAGGGGCUUACGAUUUCUUUCUAAAAAAAAUACAUUAACAAAUGUUCACAAAUCAAAAAAUAUUCAUAAUAUAAAAAACUGUUCAAAUAAUGUUUUCCUUCAAAAAUCAAUCCAAUUUUUAUUAAAAACAAAUAAACAUUCAUAUUUUUUCAAGAAGCAAAAAAUAAAAUGAUCCACAAACAAUUCUAUGGACCAUUACUCUUCCAUCAGAUGAACACCAAGAUGGCCUUUUAACGUCGAAACUUUUUUCUCCGAAAAGCAAUAAUCAAUGUAACCUUAUUAUAGACAUUUAUUACAAUUGUUUAAACACUUCCUUGCGCUCGACAGGAUUAGUUUUAUUUUAUUUUAUUUUGCGGGUUAAAAGGAUUUCAUUGCUUAACUGUUGAAAAUCCGUUCCUACAUAGCAGAAGAACGUCUACAGGUCCAGAGCGCAACCAAACUACAGUUCGGCCCUCCAAUCAUCCGAAAGCAGCAAGAGUGUGGCUAACAAGGUUCUGAUUCCUACUUACAUGAGCAAUAUUGAUAUCCCUUUCACCAAGGACCCUCUUAAUGU